UCAGUUUGAAAAGGAGGAUUGAGCUCACUGUGGAGUAUCCAUGGAGAUGUGGAGCCUUGUCACCAAACUCUAACUGCAGAACUGGGAUGUGGAGCUGGAAGUGCCUCCUCUUCUGGGCUGUGCUGGUCACAGCCACACUCUGCACCGCUAGGCCAUCCCCAACCUUGCCUGAACAAGACUGCUGGAGUUAAUACCACCGACAAAGAGAUGGAGGUGCUUCACUUAAGAAAUGUCUCCUUUGAGGACGCAGGGGAGUAUACGUGCUUGGCGGGUAAC
RNAcentral lists this small RNA (276 nucleotides) under Pongo abelii (Sumatran orangutan). RNAcentral describes it as "processed transcript". Lineage: Eukaryota; Metazoa; Chordata; Mammalia; Primates; Hominidae. The record is from RNAcentral.